CCUACGGGAGGCAGCAGUAGGGAAUCUUGCGCAAUGGGCGAAAGCCUGACGCAGCAACGCCGCGUGCGGGAAGAAGGCCUUCGGGUUGUAAACCGCUUUUGGCAGGAACGAAAAUGACGGUACCUGCAGAAUAAGGUGCGGCCAACUACGUGCCAGCAGCCGCGGUGACACGUAGGCACCAAGCGUUGUCCGGAUUUAUUGGGCGUAAAGAGCUCGUAGGCGGUUCAGUAAGUCGGGUGUGAAAACUCUGGGCUUAACCCGGAGACGCCACCCGAUACUGCUGAACUUGAGUUCGGUAGGGGAGCGGGGAAUUCCUAGUGUAGCGGUGAAAUGCGCAGAUAUUAGGAGGAACACCGGUGGCGAAGGCGCCGCUCUGGGCCGAAACUGACGCUGAGGAGCGAAAGCGUGGGUAGCAAACAGGAUUAGAUACCCUGGUAGUCCACGCCGUAAACGUUGGGCACUAGGUGUGGGUUCCAACCAACGGAAUCCGUGCCGUCGCUAACGCAUUAAGUGCCCCGCCUGGGGAGUACGGCCGCAAGGCUAAAACUCAAAGGAAUUGACGG
Molecule: ribosomal RNA, 563 nt
Filed under: uncultured bacterium
Lineage: Bacteria
Description: bacterial SSU rRNA
Rfam family: Bacterial small subunit ribosomal RNA
Source: RNAcentral